AUCAAUUGGUCCGUGUUUGUGUUUAUAUGUAGAUUA
RNAcentral lists this small RNA (36 nucleotides) under Salix viminalis (osier). The record is from RNAcentral. Lineage: Eukaryota; Viridiplantae; Streptophyta; Magnoliopsida; Malpighiales; Salicaceae.